UGACCCUCUGACAAUGGCAAAGAGACACUUUGUUGGUGGCGUUGUUCUUAUAUCAGUCAAGGUCAGAGUAGAUUGCAAUCCUUUGUUCAUCCUAGCUUGACACCUGGCUUGGUGUCCAAAGCUGUUUUACACCUAGGACACAUAA
Acomys russatus (golden spiny mouse) is the source of this 145-nucleotide small nucleolar RNA. RefSeq annotates it as small nucleolar RNA SNORA48. The transcript has a single exon. The record is from RefSeq and is a predicted model, not a curated record. NCBI's taxonomy places the organism in Eukaryota, Metazoa, Chordata, Mammalia, Rodentia, Muridae.